GACGAACGCUGGCGGCGUGCUUAACACAUGCAAGUCGAACGGAAAGGCCCUGCUUUUGUGGGGUGCUCGAGUGGCGAACGGGUGAGUAACACGUGAGUAACCUGCCCUUGACUUUGGGAUAACUUCAGGAAACUGGGGCUAAUACCGGAUAGGAGCUCCUGCUGCAUGGUGGGGGUUGGAAAGUUUCGGCGGUUGGGGAUGGACUCGCGGCUUAUCAGCUUGUUGGUGGGGUAGUGGCUUACCAAGGCUUUGACGGGUAGCCGGCCUGAGAGGGUGACCGGCCAAAUUGGGACUGAGAUACGGCCCAGACUCCUACGGGGGGCAGCAGGGGGGAAUAUUGAACAAGGGGCGGAAGCCGAAUGCAGCAACGCCGGGGGGGGGAUGACGGCCUUGGGGUUGUAAACCGCUUUCCCCUGGGAAGAAGCGGGAGUGACGGUAAUGGGUAAAGAAGCACCGGCUAACUACGU
RNAcentral lists this ribosomal RNA (467 nucleotides) under uncultured bacterium. RNAcentral's name for it is "partial 16S ribosomal RNA". It matches the Rfam family "Bacterial small subunit ribosomal RNA", at positions 28 to 506 of the family's 1533-position model. The record is from RNAcentral.